Molecule: ribosomal RNA, 273 nt
Filed under: uncultured bacterium
Lineage: Bacteria
Description: partial 16S ribosomal RNA
Rfam family: Bacterial small subunit ribosomal RNA
Source: RNAcentral
AUACGGAGGGUGCAAGCGUUACUCGGAAUCACUGGGCGUAAAGCGCGCGCAGGCGGGCUGAUAAGUUGGAUGUGAAAGCCUACGGCUCAACCGUAGAACUGCAUCCAAAACUGUCAGUCUAGAGUCUGGGAGGGGAAGAUGGAAUUAGUUGUGUAGGGGUAAAAUCCGUAGAGAUAACUAGGAAUACCAAAAGCGAGGCGAGCUUCUGGAACAGUACUGACGCUGAGGCGCGAAAGCGUGGGGAGCAAACAGGAUUAGAAACCCUAGUAGUCC